GCUGUAGCUCAGUGGUAGAGCAUCUGCUUUGCAUGCAGAAAGUCCCAGGUUCAAUUCCUGGCAUCUCCA
RNAcentral lists this transfer RNA (69 nucleotides) under Podarcis lilfordi (Lilford's wall lizard). RNAcentral's name for it is "tRNA.Ala". It matches the Rfam family "tRNA". From Rfam's summary of the family: Transfer RNA (tRNA) molecules are approximately 80 nucleotides in length. Their secondary structure includes four short double-helical elements and three loops (D, anti-codon, and T loops). The record is from RNAcentral. Lineage: Eukaryota; Metazoa; Chordata; Lepidosauria; Squamata; Lacertidae.